CGGCACUUCCGGGUUGGCCUUCUCCAUGUUGGUCUCGGGAACGUGAAGGGGCGGGGCCUCGAGGUCAGGGGUCAGCGCCUCCCUGGUUGCCGUGGCGACUGGAGCACGCGACGCGGGCGCGAUGGCGGGGACUCUAGGCCCGGGACUUGAUGCUGCUUGGGCCUGGCCCAGUGGCGGGUCCUGGGGACGUGGCAGAGGCCGGCAGACUAGAGUUUUCAUCUCAUGGAAAAUUCAGAAUCAGAAUCAAAAACAGCUGAGGUAGUUACUCGGGUGCCUUCCUUCAGCUUAUUCAAAAGAACAUAGGAUGAACGGUAAGAAUUCAGUAAACCACAAAUUAUUUUGGAGUAUCUGGUUUAUAUUAUAAAUAAAUUUUUCACUGCUG
RNAcentral lists this long non-coding RNA (382 nucleotides) under Piliocolobus tephrosceles (Ugandan red Colobus). RNAcentral's name for it is "lncRNA (ENSPTEG00000035996.1)". Lineage: Eukaryota; Metazoa; Chordata; Mammalia; Primates; Cercopithecidae. The record is from RNAcentral.